CACGUAGGGCGCAAGCGUUGUCCGGAAUUAUUGGGCGUAAAGAGCUCGUAGGCGGUCUGUUGCGUCCGCUGUGAAAACUCGGGGCUUAACCCCGAGCCUGCAGUGGAUACGGGCAGACUAGAGGUAGGUAGGGGAGAAUGGAAUUCCCGGUGUAGCGGUGAAAUGCGCAGAUAUCGGGAGGAACACCGGUGGCGAAGGCGGCUCGCUGGGCAGUGGCUGACGCUGAGGCGCGACAGCGUGGGGAGCAAACAGG
Molecule: ribosomal RNA, 253 nt
Filed under: uncultured bacterium
Lineage: Bacteria
Description: partial 16S ribosomal RNA
Rfam family: Bacterial small subunit ribosomal RNA
Source: RNAcentral